RNAcentral lists this ribosomal RNA (492 nucleotides) under uncultured bacterium. Its description in RNAcentral is "partial 16S ribosomal RNA". It matches the Rfam family "Bacterial small subunit ribosomal RNA", at positions 29 to 507 of the family's 1533-position model. The record is from RNAcentral.
AGUGAACGCUGGCGGUAGGCCUAACACAUGCAAGUCGAACGGCAGCACAGUAAGAGUUUGCUCUUACGGGUGGCGAGUGGCGGACGGGUGAGGAAUACAUCGGAAUCUACUUUUUCGUGGGGGAUAACGUAGGGAAACUUACGCUAAUACCGCAUACGACCUACGGGGGAAAGCAGGGGAUCUUCGGACCUUGCGCGAUUGAAUGAGCCGAUGUCGGAUUAGCUAGUUGGCGGGGUAAAGGCCCACCAAGGCGACGAUCCGUAGCUGGUCUGAGAGGAUGGUAGGCCACACUGGAACUGAGACACGGUCCAGACUCCUACGGGACGCAGCAGUGGGGAAUAUUGGGCAAUGGGCGGAAGCCUGAUCCAGCCAUACCGAGUGGGUGAAGAAGGCCUUCGGGUUGUAAAGCCCUUUUGUUGGGAAAGAAAAGCAGCAGGUUAAUACCCCGCUGUUCUGACGGUACCCAAAGAAUAAGCACCGGCUAACUUCGUG